Molecule: signal recognition particle RNA, 294 nt
Filed under: Vombatus ursinus (common wombat)
Lineage: Eukaryota; Metazoa; Chordata; Mammalia; Diprotodontia; Vombatidae
Description: Metazoan signal recognition particle RNA (ENSVURG00010006547.1)
Rfam family: Metazoan signal recognition particle RNA
About the family: The signal recognition particle (SRP) is a universally conserved ribonucleoprotein. It is involved in the co-translational targeting of proteins to membranes. The eukaryotic SRP consists of a 300-nucleotide 7S RNA and six proteins: SRPs 72, 68, 54, 19, 14, and 9.
Source: Rfam by way of RNAcentral
GUCAGGCAUGGUGGAAUAUGCCUAUAAUCCCUGCUGCUGCUGGGGGCCGAGGCUAACAGAUCCCUUGCGUUCAGGAGUCCUGAGCUGCAGCAUGCAAAGCCAACUGGGUAUCUGCAAUACGUCCAACCACAGGGUAGUUAAGUGGAGUACCACAAGACUCCCUGAGGAGGAACAAACUGAUCCAGGAUAGAAUAAUGGAGUAGAUCAAAGUUUCUGUGCCAGUCAGUAUUGGGAUCCUGCCUGUGAGUGGCUGCUGUACUUCUAGCACAGGAAAAUAGGAAGAUCUGGUCUCCC